AAAAAUGAAAGUUUUAAAUACAUUUUAUACACAUGUGAUAAAAAAUAAUGAUAUUUGAAAAUACAUAAUUUACAAGAAAUAUACCACACACAAACCAACCCUUAUGUUCCUCAUGACAUUUCCACGUUGGUCCUAUGUUGAGAUGAAUAGUAGCCCGCCACCAUAAAUGAAAAAUAGAUACAAGACAAAAGACAACGUGUCAUGUCUCAACCACGCAUCCAAAUACUAUCCCUCAAUAAUUAAUUUGCUACGUACGUACAGUAUAAACCAUUCAUACAUACACAUAUACAGAAAAAGGUUCAUACAUACACAUAUACAGCAAAAGGUUGCAUUUAAUACAAAAUACAUUAAAACCAAAUACAAAUGAAAAAAUAUACACUCGCAAAUGUCUACGUCUAUUUAUAAACAACAACUGCAAAUACGUACAAACGUAGAAAAUACGCACAAAUUACUUCACAAUAAAAAAAAGGAAAUAACAAAAAAUCCAUGAUAAAUACACAAGGCAGGGAUAGACAUUGAUAAAGAAUAACAAAUAAGUCCUUUUUCUUUUCUUUCAUAACGAUAUAAUCACCCUUCUUUCUUUUUUCACAAACAUAUCACUAACUUUUGCAUCAUCAAUCAUGCCUUUGGCGCCUCCGGC
This 640-nucleotide long non-coding RNA is filed under the name Linum usitatissimum (flax). RNAcentral's name for it is "long non-coding RNA (LUSI_LNC004504)". Lineage: Eukaryota; Viridiplantae; Streptophyta; Magnoliopsida; Malpighiales; Linaceae. The record is from RNAcentral.